Lolium rigidum is the source of this 660-nucleotide long non-coding RNA. RefSeq lists it as uncharacterized. The transcript is spliced from 3 exons. Lineage: Eukaryota; Viridiplantae; Streptophyta; Magnoliopsida; Poales; Poaceae. The record is from RefSeq and is a predicted model, not a curated record.
UGCGCCCCUGGAAUCAUUCCGUGCCUGGCUGCUAAUUGGUGUAUAUUCCUUGUAUUCCAAGGACGCGGUGCUGAUGUUGUUCCUCCAGAUGCGUAGUCGCUGCCACCGCAAGAAAGAUGACAACAUACUGCUGCUAGGUUACUCCACACGCCCUGUAUGCCGGUCAAUGGUGCGCCCCUGGGAUCGUUUCGUGCCUGACUGCUAAUUGAUGUAUUUUCCUUGUAUGAAGGACAAGAUGCUGGUGCUGUUCCUCCAGAUGCGCCGUCGCUGCCACCGCGAGAAAGAUCCCGACUGCUACUGCCAGUUGACCCCCCAUGCUGAUGUGCACUGCUCAAUCUACUAUGCACCUUUGUUGAUUGCGAUAAUCUGUGCUGGCUGCUAUGAAGCUUGGUGUGGGCUAAGCAAUUUCAAGUAGUGCCCACUUCCCCUCGACAAGAAAUGCAUUGCAGAAGUAAUAGUAACUGGACAAGCUUUAAAAAAGAUGUUUGUUGAUGCAUACCACACGGUAUAUAUAAGCGUUGUAGUAGCUUUAGUGCAUUUUAAUGAUUGUUCAUCUUUGCGAUUGUAUUGAGUUUCUGUCGCGGCAACCUGUGUGAUGGCCUACAAUAUUUUCAUGGGGAUUCCUGAGCCAUCGACCAGGUUUAACUUUUAGGCAGAGUC